This 65-nucleotide transfer RNA is filed under the name Acanthephyra sp. Its description in RNAcentral is "tRNA-Thr". It matches the Rfam family "tRNA". From Rfam's summary of the family: Transfer RNA (tRNA) molecules are approximately 80 nucleotides in length. Their secondary structure includes four short double-helical elements and three loops (D, anti-codon, and T loops). Further hydrogen bonds mediate the characteristic L-shaped molecular structure. tRNAs have two regions of fundamental functional importance: the anti-codon, which is responsible for specific mRNA codon recognition, and the 3' end, to which the tRNAs corresponding amino acid is attached (by aminoacyl-tRNA synthetases). tRNAs cope with the degeneracy of the genetic code in two manners: having more than one tRNA (with a specific anti-codon) for a particular amino acid; and 'wobble' base-pairing, i.e. permitting non-standard base-pairing at the 3rd anti-codon position. Lineage: Eukaryota; Metazoa; Arthropoda; Malacostraca; Decapoda; Oplophoridae. The record is from RNAcentral.
GCUUUGAUAGUUUAACUAAAACGUUGGUCUUGUAAGUCAAUAAUGAAAUCUAUUUUCUCAAAACA